Molecule: unclassified non-coding RNA, 353 nt
Filed under: soil metagenome
Description: partial contains 5.8S ribosomal RNA, internal transcribed spacer 2, and large subunit ribosomal RNA
Rfam family: 5.8S ribosomal RNA (bases 1-120)
Source: RNAcentral
GAUGAAGAACGCAGUGAAAUGCGAUAAGUAAUGUGAAUUGCAGAAUUCAGUGAAUCAUCGAAUCUUUGAACGCACAUUGCGCCCGCGAGUAUUCUCGCGGGCAUGCCUGUCCGAGCGUCAUUUCAACCCUCAGGGCCCGCCUGCUUCGGCAGGCGCGGCGCUGGUGUUGGGGAUCGGCCUAACCGCCGUCCCCCAAAUACAGUGGCGGUCUCGCUGCAGCCUCCCCUGCGUAGUAGCAACACUCGCAUGCGGAGCGCGGCGCGGCCACGCCGUAAAACCCCCGACUUUCUGAACGUUGACCUCGGAUCAGGUAGGAAUAUCCGCUGAACUUAAGCAUAUCAAUAAGCGGAGGA